CCUACGGGAGGCAGCAGUGAGGAAUCUUGGUCAAUGGGCGUAAGCCUGAACCAGCCAAGCCGCGUGAGGGAUGAAGGUUCUAUGGAUCGUAAACCUCUUUUAUAAGGGAAUAAAGUGUGGGACGUGUCCUGUUUUGUCUGUACCUUAUGAAUAAGGAUCGGCUAACUCCGUGCCAGCAGACGCGGUACUACGGAGGAUCCGAGCGUUGUCCGGUUUUAUUGGGUUUAAAGGGUGCGUAGGCGGCCGUUUAAGUUAGCGGUGAAAGUCUGUGGCUCAACCCGAGAAUGGCCGUGGAAACUGGGAGGCGUGAGUAUGAUAGAGGCAGGCGGAAUGCGAGGUGUAGCGGUGAAAUGCUUAGAUAUCACGCAGAACCCCGAUGGCGAAGGCAGCCUGC
This 394-nucleotide ribosomal RNA is filed under the name uncultured bacterium. Its description in RNAcentral is "partial 16S ribosomal RNA". It matches the Rfam family "Bacterial small subunit ribosomal RNA", at positions 338 to 729 of the family's 1533-position model. The record is from RNAcentral.